This 396-nucleotide ribosomal RNA is filed under the name uncultured bacterium. Its description in RNAcentral is "bacterial SSU rRNA". It matches the Rfam family "Bacterial small subunit ribosomal RNA", at positions 28 to 416 of the family's 1533-position model. The record is from RNAcentral.
GACGAACGCUGGCGGCGUGCCUAAUACAUGCAAGUCGAGCGAAUCAGUAGGAGCUUGCUCCUAUUGGUUAGCGGCGGACGGGUGAGUAACACGUGGGCAACCUGCCUGUAAGACUGGGAUAACUUCGGGAAACCGGAGCUAAUACCGGAUAAUCCUUUUCCUCUCAUGAGGAAAAGCUGAAAGACGGUUUCGGCUGUCACUUACAGAUGGGCCCGCGGCGCAUUAGCAGUUGGUGAGGUAAUGGCUCACCAAGGCAACGAUGCGUAGCCGACCUGAGAGGGUGAUCGGCCACACUGGGACUGAGACACGGCCCAGACUCCUACGGGAGGCAGCAGUAGGGAAUCUUCCACAAUGGACAAAGUCUGAUGGAGCAACGCCGCGUGAGCGAUGAAGGCC